RNAcentral lists this ribosomal RNA (876 nucleotides) under uncultured bacterium. RNAcentral's name for it is "bacterial SSU rRNA". It matches the Rfam family "Bacterial small subunit ribosomal RNA", at positions 634 to 1501 of the family's 1533-position model. The record is from RNAcentral.
CUAUCAGCUAGAGUUGUGGGAGGAGGAAGAUGGAAUUAGUUGUGUAGGGGUAAAAUCCGUAGAGAUAACUAGGAAUACCAAAAGCGAAGGCAAUCUUCUGGAACACUACUGACGCUGAGGCGCGAAGGCGUGGGGAGCAAACAGGAUUAGAUACCCUGGUAGUCCACGCAGUAAACGAUGAAUGUUAGUCGUCGGGGGCCUAGUGUCUUCGGUGAUGCAGCUAACGCAUUAAACAUUCCGCCUGGGGAGUACGGUCGCAAGAUUAAAACUCAAAGGAAUAGACGGGGACCCGCACAGGUGGUGGAGCAUGUGGUUUAAUUCGAAGAUACGCGAAGAACCUUACCUAGCCUUGACAUAUUUUAGAACUCCGUAGAGAUACAGAGGUGCCUUCGGGAGCUAAUUUACAGGUGCUGCACGGCUGUCGUCAGCUCGUGUCGUGAGAUGUUGGGUUAAGUCCCGCAACGAGCGCAACCCUCGUCACUAGUUACUAACGGUUCGGCCGAGGACUCUAGUGAGACUGCCUUCGUAAGGAGGAGGAAGGUGAGGACGACGUCAAGUCAUCAUGGCCCUUACGGCUAGGGCAACACACGUGCUACAAUGGCCAGGACAGUGAGACGCGAUACCGUGAGGUGGAGCAAAUCUAUAAACCUGGUCUCAGUUCGGAUUGUAGUCUGCAACUCGACUACAUGAAGCUGGAAUCACUAGUAAUCGUAGAUCAGCUAUGCUACGGUGAAUACGUUCCCGGGUCUUGUACUCACCGCCCGUCACACCAUGGGAGUUGGUUGUACCAGAAGUCGUUGGGCCAACCCCGUUCUGCGGGGAGGCAGGCGCCUAAGGUAUGGCUGAUGAUUGGGGUGAAGUCGUAACAAGGUAACC